Molecule: microRNA, 23 nt
Filed under: Chrysemys picta bellii (western painted turtle)
Lineage: Eukaryota; Metazoa; Chordata; Testudines; Emydidae
Description: Cpi-Mir-17-P4d_3p* (star (passenger))
Source: RNAcentral
ACUGCCGAGUCAGCGCUUCGCGA